This 1372-nucleotide ribosomal RNA is filed under the name uncultured bacterium. RNAcentral's name for it is "bacterial SSU rRNA". It matches the Rfam family "Bacterial small subunit ribosomal RNA", at positions 28 to 1381 of the family's 1533-position model. The record is from RNAcentral.
GAUGAACGCUGGCGGCGUGCCUAAUACAUGCAAGUCGAGCGAACGGACGAGAAGCUUGCUUCUCUGAUGUUAGCGGCGGACGGGUGAGUAACACGUGGAUAACCUACCUAUAAGACUGGGAUAACUUCGGGAAACCGGAGCUAAUACCGGAUAAUAUUUUGAACCGCAUGGUUCAAAAGUGAAAGACGGUCUUGCUGUCACUUAUAGAUGGAUCCGCGCUGCAUUAGCUAGUUGGUAAGGUAACGGCUUACCAAGGCAACGAUGCAUAGCCGACCUGAGAGGGUGAUCGGCCACACUGGAACUGAGACACGGUCCAGACUCCUACGGGGGGCAGCAGUAGGGAAUCUUCCGCAAUGGGCGAAAGCCUGACGGAGCAACGCCGCGUGAGUGAUGAAGGUCUUCGGAUCGUAAAACUCUGUUAUUAGGGAAGAACAUAUGUGUAAGUAACUGUGCACAUCUUGACGGUACCUAGUCAGAAAGCCACGGCUAACUACGUGCCAGCAGCCGCGGUAAUACGUAGGUGGCAAGCGUUAUCCGGAAUUAUUGGGCGUAAAGCGCGCGUAGGCGGUUUUUUAAGUCUGAUGUGAAAGCCCACGGCUCAACCGUGGAGGGUCAUUGGAAACUGGAAAACUUGAGUGCAGAAGAGGAAAGUGGAAUUCCAUGUGUAGCGGUGAAAUGCGCAGAGAUAUGGAGGAACACCAGUGGCGAAGGCGACUUUCUGGUCUGUAACUGACGCUGAUGUGCGAAAGCGUGGGGAUCAAACAGGAUUAGAUACCCUGGUAGUCCACGCCGUAAACGAUGAGUGCUAAGUGUUAGGGGGUUUCCGCCCCUUAGUGCUGCAGCUAACGCAUUAAGCACUCCGCCUGGGGAGUACGACCGCAAGGUUGAAACUCAAAGGAAUUGACGGGGACCCGCACAAGCGGUGGAGCAUGUGGUUUAAUUCGAAGCAACGCGAAGAACCUUACCAAAUCUUGACAUCCUUUGACAACUCUAGAGAUAGAGCCUUCUCCUUCGGGGGACAAAGUGACAGGUGGUGCAUGGUUGUCGUCAGCUCGUGUCGUGAGAUGUUGGGUUAAGUCCCGCAACGAGCGCAACCCUUAAGCUUAGUUGCCAUCAUUAAGUUGGGCACUCUAAGUUGACUGCCGGUGACAAACCGGAGGAAGGUGGGGAUGACGUCAAAUCAUCAUGCCCCUUAUGAUUUGGGCUACACACGUGCUACAAUGGACAAUACAAAGGGCAGCGAAACCGCGAGGUCAAGCAAAUCCCAUAAAGUUGUUCUCAGUUCGGAUUGUAGUCUGCAACUCGACUACAUGAAGCUGGAAUCGCUAGUAAUCGUAGAUCAGCAUGCUACGGUGAAUACGUUCCCGGGUCU